AAGGAGCACUUCUACACAGACCGUUCGAAGAGUCGAAUGUGACUGUGUCAGAGACCGUUUCGGACUCACACGUAGUCCGGCGGACGCUCAUGGGUGGAACACUGACUACUUUCAUCGCACCAUGGUUUCAGCCAAGUCUGGAAUCGCGGUGAAUAUACCGACACACUAUUGGGUCCUGAAAGAACAGACGUUCUUUCCAGGCAAAAAACGACGAGACUGAAUCCUCAGUCAUACCGCCGAGCUUGCUCGGGCUGGUGCUGAAGCACGGAUUUGGACUUGUGUGUUGUUUGAGAACUGCACAGUGGACGCGAGCAUCUUUGUUA
RNAcentral lists this unclassified non-coding RNA (323 nucleotides) under Nocardia sp. DSM 43399. Its description in RNAcentral is "16S-23S ribosomal RNA intergenic spacer region". The record is from RNAcentral. Lineage: Bacteria; Bacillati; Actinomycetota; Actinomycetes; Mycobacteriales; Nocardiaceae.